UACGUAGGUGGCAAGCGUUGUCCGGAUUUACUGGGCGUAAAGCGCGCGUAGGCGGCUGUCUAAGUCGGGUGUGAAAGCCCCGGGCUCAACCUGGGAACUGCAUUCGAUACUGGACGGCUAGAGUAUGAGAGAGGGAGGUAGAAUUCCACGUGUAGCGGUGAAAUGCGUAGAUAUGUGGAAGAACACCGAUGGCGAAGGCAGCCCCCUGGGAUGAGACUGACGCUCAUGUACGAAAGCGUGGGGAGCAAACAGG
RNAcentral lists this ribosomal RNA (253 nucleotides) under uncultured bacterium. Its description in RNAcentral is "partial 16S ribosomal RNA". It matches the Rfam family "Bacterial small subunit ribosomal RNA", at positions 524 to 776 of the family's 1533-position model. The record is from RNAcentral.